This 140-nucleotide ribosomal RNA is filed under the name uncultured bacterium. RNAcentral's name for it is "partial 16S ribosomal RNA". It matches the Rfam family "Bacterial small subunit ribosomal RNA", at positions 387 to 524 of the family's 1533-position model. The record is from RNAcentral.
ACCAGCCAAGUAGCGUGAAGGAUGAAGGCCCUAUGGGUCGUAAACUUCUUUUAUAGGGGAAUAAAGUGAGGGACGUGUCCCUUUUUGUAUGUACCCUAUGAAUAAGGAUCGGCUAACUCCGUGCCAGCAGCCGCGGUAAU